This 253-nucleotide ribosomal RNA is filed under the name uncultured bacterium. Its description in RNAcentral is "partial 16S ribosomal RNA". It matches the Rfam family "Bacterial small subunit ribosomal RNA", at positions 524 to 776 of the family's 1533-position model. The record is from RNAcentral.
UACAGAGGUGGCAAGCGUUGCUCGGUAUCACUGGGCUUAAAGGGCGCGUAGGCGGUGCGGUGCGGUUUCGGUGAAAUCCCUCGGCCCAACCGAGGAACAGCCGGGGCUACGGCCGCGCUAGACGGCAUCAGGGGACAGUGGAACUUCCGGUGGAGCGGUGAAAUGCGUAGAUAUCGGAAGGAACGCCGGUGGCGAAAGCGACUGUCUGGGGUGCCUGUGACGCUGAGGCGCGAAAGCCAGGGGAUCAAACGGG